CUACGGGGUGCUGCAGCUAAGAAUCUUCCGCAAUGGACGAAAGUCUGACGGAGCGACGCCGCGUGGGUGAUGAAGGCCGAGAGGUUGUAAAGCCCUUUUCUGCUUGAGGAAUAAGCAUCGGAGGGAAUGCCGGUGUGAUGACGGUAGGGCAGGAAUAAGCCCCGGCUAAUUACGUGCCAGCAGCCGCGGUAACACGUAUGGGGCGAGCGUUGCUCGGAAUCAUUGGGCGUAAAGGGCGUGUAGGCGGAAAUGCAAGUCUGGUGUGAAAGACCGCAGCUUAACUGCGGGAGCGCGCUGGAAACUGCAUAUCUUGAGUUCCGGAGGGGGAGUUGGAAUUCCUGGUGUAGGGGUGAAAUCUGUUGAUAUCAGGAAGAACAUCGGUGGCGAAGGCGAACUCCUGGACGAGAACUGACGCUGAGGCGCGAAAGCGUGGGGAGCGAACAGGAUUAGAUACCCUCGUAGUC
RNAcentral lists this ribosomal RNA (464 nucleotides) under uncultured bacterium. Its description in RNAcentral is "partial 16S ribosomal RNA". It matches the Rfam family "Bacterial small subunit ribosomal RNA", at positions 339 to 795 of the family's 1533-position model. The record is from RNAcentral.